UGAGUACAAGAUGCUACGGCAUUGAAGCAGUCUAUGUCAUACUUCCAAGAAAAGCUUGCAAUGUCAUAAACAAAUAAUGCCUGUACCAUAACCGACACAGGUGGGUAGGUAGAGUAUACUAAGGGGCGCGAGAUAACUCUCUCUAAGGAACUCGGCAAAAUGACUCCGUAACUUCGGGAGAAGGAGUACCUUAUUUUAUAAGGUUGCAAUAACAAGGUCCAAGCAACUGUUUACCAAAAACACAGGUCUCCGCUAAGUCGUAAGACGAUGUAUGGGGGCUGACGCCUGCCCAGUGCCAGAAGGUUAAAGAAGUUGGUUAGCAUUAGCGAAGCUGAUAACUGAAGCCCUGGUGAACGGCGGCCGUAACAAUAACGGUCCUAAGGUAGCGAAAUUCCUUGUCAGGUAAGUUCCGACCCGCACGAAAGGCGUAAUGAUUUGGAUACUGUCUCGGAGAGGGGCUCGGUGAAAUAGACUUGUCCGUGAAGAUGCGGACUACCUGCACCUGGACAGAAAGACCCUAUGAAGCUUUACUGUAACUUGAGAUUGAAAUUGGACUUUAUUUGCGCAGUAUAGGUGGGAGACCUCGAAAGUAUUCUUGCGGGAAUAUUGGAGUCAUCAGUGAGAUACCACUCUUAUAAUGUUAGAUUUCUAACUUUGUAUCAUUAUCUGGUCAAAGAACAGUUUCAGGCGGGCAGUUUGACUGGGGCGGUCGCCUCCCAAAUGGUAACGGAGGCGCACAAAGGUUUCCUCUGAACGUGUAGAAAUCGUAUCUAGAGUGUAAAGGCAUAAGGAAGCUUGACUGUGAGACCUACAAGUCGAGCAGGGACGAAAGUCGGUCUUAGUGAUCUGACGGUGCUGAGUGGAAAGGCCGUCACUCAACGGAUAAAAGUUACUCUAAGGAUAACAGGCUGAUCUCCCCCAAGAGUUCACAUCGACGGGGAGGUUUGGCACCUCGAUGUCGGCUCAUCGCAUCCUGGGGCGGUAGUACGUCCCAAGGGUUGGGCUGUUCGCCCAUGAAAGCGGUACGCGAGCUGGGUUCAGAACGUCGUGAGACAGUUCGGUCCAUAUCCGGUGUAGGCGUUAGAAUAUUGAGAGGAGCCUUCUUUAGUACGAGAGGACCGAGAAGGACAUACCUCUGGUGUACCAGUUAUCGUGCCAACGGUAAACGCUGGGUAGCUAUGUAUGGAGAGGAUAACCGCUGAAAGCAUCUAAGUGGGAAGCCCACCUCAAGAUAAG
Molecule: ribosomal RNA, 1236 nt
Filed under: metagenome
Description: bacterial LSU rRNA
Rfam family: Bacterial large subunit ribosomal RNA
Source: RNAcentral